CGCCCAGACUCUACGGGAGGCAGCAGUGGGGGAUAUUGCACAAUGGGGGGAACCCUGAUGCAGCGACGCCGCGUGGGUGAAGGAGCGUUUCGGCGCGUAAAGCCCUCUCGGCAGGGAAGAAGGAGGACGGUACCUGACUAAGAAGCCCCGGCUAACUACGUGCCAGCAGCCGCGGUAAUACGUAGGGGGCAAGCGUUAUCCGGAUUUACUGGGUGUAAAGGGAGCGUAGACGGAAAGGCAAGUCAGAAGUGAAAACCCAAGGCUCAACCCUGGGAGUGCUUUUGAAACUGUGCGGCUAGAGUGUCGGAGGGGUAAGUGGAAUUCCUAGUGUAGCGGUGAAAUGCGUAGAUAUUAGGAGGAACACCAGUGGCGAAGGCGGCUUACUGGACGAUGACUGACGCUGAGGCUCGAAAGCGUGGGGAGCAAACAGGAUUAGAUACCCGUGUA
This 447-nucleotide ribosomal RNA is filed under the name uncultured bacterium. RNAcentral describes it as "partial 16S ribosomal RNA". It matches the Rfam family "Bacterial small subunit ribosomal RNA", at positions 328 to 792 of the family's 1533-position model. The record is from RNAcentral.